AACGAACGUUGGCGGCAUGCCUAACACAUGCAAGUCGAACGAGACCUUCGGGUCUAGUGGCGCACGGGUGCGUAACGCGUGGGAACCUGCCCUUAGGUUCGGAAUAACUCCCCGAAAGGGGUGCUAAUACCGGAUAAUGUCUUCGGACCAAAGAUUUAUCGCCUUUGGAUGGGCCCGCGUUGGAUUAGCUAGUUGGUAGGGUAAUAGCCUACCAAGGCGACGAUCCAUAGCUGGUCUGAGAGGAUGAUCAGCCACACUGGGACUGAGACACGGCCCAGACUCCUACGGGAGGCAGCAGUGGGGAAUAUUGGACAAUGGGCGAAAGCCUGAUCCAGCAAUGCCGCGUGAGUGAUGAAGGCCUUAGGGUUGUAAAGCUCUUUUACCCGGGAUGAUAAUGACAGUACCGGGAGAAUAAGCUCCGGCUAACUCCGUG
Molecule: ribosomal RNA, 433 nt
Filed under: uncultured bacterium
Lineage: Bacteria
Description: partial 16S ribosomal RNA
Rfam family: Bacterial small subunit ribosomal RNA
Source: RNAcentral